RNAcentral lists this small nuclear RNA (156 nucleotides) under Pogona vitticeps (central bearded dragon). RNAcentral describes it as "U2 spliceosomal RNA (ENSPVIG00000025170.1)". It matches the Rfam family "U2 spliceosomal RNA". From Rfam's summary of the family: U2 is a small nuclear RNA (snRNA) component of the spliceosome (involved in pre-mRNA splicing). Complementary binding between U2 snRNA (in an area lying towards the 5' end but 3' to hairpin I) and the branchpoint sequence (BPS) of the intron results the bulging out of an unpaired adenosine, on the BPS, which initiates a nucleophilic attack at the intronic 5' splice site, thus starting the first of two transesterification reactions that mediate splicing. The record is from RNAcentral. Lineage: Eukaryota; Metazoa; Chordata; Lepidosauria; Squamata; Agamidae.
AGACCCCACUGUAUUAUUAUAGAGCAAUAGAAGUAUCUGUUCUUAUCAGUUUAAUAUCUGGUACAUCCUCUAUCUGAGGACUACAUAUUAAAUGGAUUUUUGGAGCUGGGUUAGCCACCCAGAGUGGUCAACCAGACCAGAUGGGCGGGAUAUUUA